Molecule: unclassified non-coding RNA, 2065 nt
Filed under: Portunus trituberculatus (swimming crab)
Lineage: Eukaryota; Metazoa; Arthropoda; Malacostraca; Decapoda; Portunidae
Description: g-patch domain and KOW motifs-containing protein- like, transcript variant X1
Source: RNAcentral
CUGUAGCAUCAAGAUCGAGAUCAAGGUCUGAUAGUGAGUAAACAUCGAAGUGUCGGUGUAAAGUGAACGUUUAUUAAGUAACGUGCGAGAUGAAUGGGCAAAAGUUUUCCCUUUCGUUCAGCAAGAAAAUAGAGAAGAAAUCGUUACAGCCCUCAGCCUUGGGAGGUGAGAGCAGAACGGAGGUGAAGCGCACCCCUCAGGCCCUGCUCGCUGUGGACCAGGACUCCCUCAAAGUAAAUGAGAAUGCAGAGGAGGAGGAGCUUGUCAUCCCACUCCUGCAGGCCAAGAGAUCUGCAGUGUUGAGUCGUCUGGCCAAACUGCAACAGGGGGAUGGAGGGAAGGAAGGUGAAGGAAAGAAGGAAGAGGAGACUACUCAGGAGAAUCAGGAAGACAGCAAACCCCUUACACUGGAGGAAAAAGCUGAACAUGCUCUUUUGGAAGAGAGCAAGAGGAGGUUGGAGGAAUGGACUGCACGGGAUGUCAAGAAGGACAUUACCAUCCCCAUUGAAGACCAACUUUCAGCUCCACUGACAGACAUUGGCAAGGAGUCCACACUGGAUGACUAUGAUGAGAUUGCAGUGGAAUCUUUUGGUGCUGCUAUCCUGAGAGGCAUGGGAUGGAAGAAAUCUGAGGGCAUUGGUGGCAGAGAGAAAAAAGUGAUAGAUAUUAUUGAUCCCUCCACCAAGACUCUAGGCUCCAGUGAGGGAAAGCAAACCACAACACAGAAGAAAGAAGGUGAAGAGUUAGGGGAGGAUGAGGAAGAGCUUCCCGUUGUCAAAGGUGCCUAUGUCUUCCUCCACAGUGGCCGUCAUCGAGGAACUUAUGGGGUGGUUGAGGUGGUAGAUGAGGACCAUGUACUCAUAAGGGCAGCAGUGGGACAGGCAGUGCUAAGGGAGGUGGAGGGCAACUUGCGUGUGGCCACUCAGAAGGAAUACCGAGAAUCUUCACGUGUCAUCAACAAGGAAAUGUAUGAUAAAUUUAAGGAAGCUGAAGUGAAGAACAAUGAAGCAAAGAAGAAAAUGCUAUGUGAGGAAGAUAAAGAAGGUAGUGGGAGUGAUAGAGACAGAAAGAGGUCUCAGAAAACAAGGAGUAAAGAUAGAAAGGAAGACCACCGAGAUGCAGACUCUGAAUGUGUCAAAUUGAAGCAAGAGGGUAGUGAAUGGGAUAAUAACAGAAAACAAAGGGAAAGUGACAAUGAGCAGAAGAGAGACAAGAAUGAAGGGAAGAGAGAUGAAGCAGAAGUUAGGCCAAGAGAGAACAGUAAUAAACAGAGUGAAAAAUACAGAGACAGGGAUGAUAAGAGACAGAGAGACCGAGAUGAAGAGAGGCAGAGGAGACACAGGGAAAAGGAAUCAGAGAAGCAAAGAUAUAAGGAGAGGAAACUAGUGUACAGCAGAGAAGAAAGGAAAGACAAAUAUCAGAACAAAAGAGAGAGUGACAGGAAGGCACAGGACCCACAGGAAAGGCUGUACAAAGACACACAAGCAUCAGGAGGCAAGAAACGACAAGAGGAAUUCUCUGAAGCACAAGAGACAAAGGCAAAGCAGCAGAGAAUGAUCACACCACCUUGGGUCCAGGAAAAUUUACGAGUGCGAAUUAUUAACAAGAACUACAAAGGAGGGAAAUACCAUAAGCAAAAGGUAGUGGUGGUGAGUGUGGUGACGGCUGAGAGCUGUGAGUGUGUUGUGGAUGGUGGCCAGCUCCUGGAUGGUGUUGACCCAGCCUGGCUGGAAACAGUGAUCCCCAAACAACCUCCAAUGGUGGUGAUGGUGGUACGGGGACGAUACAAUGGACAGUUACAUCAUAAAGGUUCGAGUGCUGAUGCUGUUCUGAUACGUGAAGUGAAGGAUUGCAGGUCUCUGAAGCUGAAAGCUUGAUGUGACUACAUGCAACUGAUCAAUAACAUGUUACUUAGGUUGAGUCAUCCUGUUUGGAAGGGACGCAUCUUACAGCUACACAAGGAUCAGGAGAAAGCAUCCAUUCAGCUCCUUGAAGAUGAGACCACCAUCCUCAAACUGCAUUAUGAUGACAUCUGUGAAUAUGCGGUCAGAUAAUGAACCAAUGA